RNAcentral lists this ribosomal RNA (460 nucleotides) under uncultured bacterium. Its description in RNAcentral is "partial 16S ribosomal RNA". It matches the Rfam family "Bacterial small subunit ribosomal RNA", at positions 338 to 795 of the family's 1533-position model. The record is from RNAcentral.
CCUACGGGAGGCAGCAGUGAGGAAUAUUGGUCAAUGGGCGCGAGCCUGAACCAGCCAAGUAGCGUGAAGGAUGACUGCCCUACGGGUUGUAAACUUCUUUUAUAAAGGAAUAAAGUGAGGCACGUGUGCCUUUUUGUAUGUACUUUAUGAAUAAGGAUCGGCUAACUCCGUGCCAGCAGCCGCGGUAAUACGGAGGAUCCGAGCGUUAUUCGGAUUUAUUGGGGUUAAAGGGAGCGUAGAUGGGUUGUUAAGUUAGUUGUGAAAGUUUGCGGCUCAACCGUAAAAUUGCAAUUGAUACUGGCAGCCUUGAGUACAGUUGAGGUAGGCGGAAUUCGUGGUGUAGCGGUGAAAUGCGUAGAGAUCACGAAGAACUCCGAUUGCGAAGGCAGCUUACUAAACUGCCACUGACAUUGAUGCGCGAAAGUGUGGGUAUCAAACAGGAUUAGAUACCCUUGUAGUC